This 343-nucleotide unclassified non-coding RNA is filed under the name soil metagenome. Its description in RNAcentral is "partial contains 5.8S ribosomal RNA, internal transcribed spacer 2, and large subunit ribosomal RNA". The stretch from base 1 to 120 matches the Rfam family "5.8S ribosomal RNA", at positions 35 to 154 of the family's 154-position model. The record is from RNAcentral.
GAUGAAGAACGCAGCGAAAUGCGAUAAGUAAUGUGAAUUGCAGAAUCCAGUGAAUCAUCGAAUCUUUGAACGCACAUUGCGCCCGCCAACAUUCUGGCGGGCAUGCCUGUUCGAGCGUCAUUUCAACCCUCGACCUCCCUUUGGGGAAGUCGGCGUUGGGGACCGGCAGCACACCGCCGGCCCUGAAAUGGAGUGGCGGCCCGUCCGCGGCGACCUCUGCGUAGUAAUCCAACUCGCACCGGAACCCCGACGCGGCCACGCCGUAAAACACCCAACUUCUGAACGUUGACCUCGAAUCAGGUAGGACUACCCGCUGAACUUAAGCAUAUCAAUAAGCGGAGGA